CUACGGGUUGCUGCAGUCGAGAAUCUUCCGCAAUGGACGAAAGUCUGACGGAGCGACGCCGCGUGCGGGAUGAAGGCCUUCGGGUUGUAAACCGCUGUCAGUGGGGAGGAAAUGCAUCAGGGUUCUCCCUGGUGUUUGACCGAUCCGCAGAGGAAGCGCAGGCUAAGUUCGUGCCAGCAGCCGCGGUAACACGAACUGCGCGAACGUUAUUCGGAAUCACUGGGCUUAAAGAGUUCGUAGGCGGCCUUUCAAGUCGGGUGUGAAAUCCCUCGGCUCAACCGAGGAAUUGCGCCUGAUACUGUUGGGCUUGAGGGGGAUAGGGGUGAGCGGAACUGAUGGUGGAGCGGUGAAAUGCGUUGAUAUCAUCAGGAACACCGGUGGCGAAGGCGGCUCACUGGAUCUCUUCUGACGCUGAGGAACGAAAGCUAGGGGAGCGAACGGGAUUAGAUACCCCAGUAGUC
RNAcentral lists this ribosomal RNA (461 nucleotides) under uncultured bacterium. Its description in RNAcentral is "partial 16S ribosomal RNA". It matches the Rfam family "Bacterial small subunit ribosomal RNA", at positions 339 to 795 of the family's 1533-position model. The record is from RNAcentral.